This 855-nucleotide ribosomal RNA is filed under the name uncultured bacterium. Its description in RNAcentral is "bacterial SSU rRNA". It matches the Rfam family "Bacterial small subunit ribosomal RNA", at positions 524 to 1380 of the family's 1533-position model. The record is from RNAcentral.
UACGGAGGGUUCAAGCGUUAUCCGGAUUUAUUGGGUUUAAAGGGUCCGUAGGCGGGCUAAUAAGUCAGUGGUGAAAUCCUAUCGCUUAACGAUAGAACUGCCAUUGAAACUGUUAGUCUAGAAUUAUUUUGAAGUUGGCGGAAUGAGUAGUGUAGCGGUGAAAUGCAUAGAUAUUACUCAGAACACCGAUUGCGAAGGCAGCUGACUAAGAAUAUAUUGACGCUGAUGGACGAAAGCGUAGGUAGCGAACAGGAUUAGAUACCCUGGUCGUCUACGCAGUAAACGAUGGAUACUAGUUGUCGGGGAAAUUGAGACUCGGUGGCUAAGCGAAAGUGAUAAGUAUCCCACCUGGGGAGUACGAUCGCAAGAUUGAAACUCAAAGGAAUUGACGGGGGCCCGCACAAGCGGUGGAGCAUGUGGUUUAAUUCGAUGAUACGCGAGGAACCUUACCUGGGCUUAAAUGUAUUUUGACCGUACUGGAAACAGUAUUUCCCGCAAGGGCAGAAUACAAGGUGCUGCAUGGUUGUCGUCAGCUCGUGCCGUGAGGUGUCAGGUUAAGUCCUAUAACGAGCGCAACCCCUAUCUUUAGUUGCUAGCAGGUGAUGCUGAGGACUCUAAAGAGACUGCCGGUGCAAACCGUGAGGAAGGUGGGGAUGACGUCAAAUCAUCACGGCCCUUACGUCCAGGGCCACACACGUGCUACAAUGGUGCAUACAGAGAGCAGCCAACUUGUGAGAGUGAGCGAAUCUUCAAAGUGCAUCACAGUUCGGAUCGUAGUCUGCAACUCGACUACGUGAAGCUGGAAUCGCUAGUAAUCGCAGAUCAGCCAUGCUGCGGUGAAUACGUUCCCGGGCC